This 771-nucleotide ribosomal RNA is filed under the name uncultured bacterium. RNAcentral's name for it is "bacterial SSU rRNA". It matches the Rfam family "Bacterial small subunit ribosomal RNA", at positions 8 to 796 of the family's 1533-position model. The record is from RNAcentral.
AGAGUUUGAUCCUGGCUCAGGACGAACGCUGGCGGCGUGCUUAACAUAUGCAAGUCGAACGGAAAGGCCCUUCGGGGUACUCGAGUGGCGAACGGGUGAGUAACACGUGGGUGAUCUGCCCUGCACUUUGGGAUAAGCCUGGGAAACUGGGUCUAAUACCGAAUAUGACCAUGCACUUCCUGGUGUGUGGUGGAAAGCUUUUGCGGUGUGGGAUGGGCCCGCGGCCUAUCAGCUUGUUGGUGGGGUAAUGGCCUACCAAGGCGACGACGGGUAGCCGGCCUGAGAGGGUGACCGGCCACACUGGGACUGAGAUACGGCCCAGACUCCUACGGGAGGCAGCAGUGGGGAAUAUUGCACAAUGGGCGCAAGCCUGAUGCAGCGACGCCGCGUGAGGGAUGACGGCCUUCGGGUUGUAAACCUCUUUCAGCACAGACGAAGCGCAAGUGACGGUAUGUGCAGAAGAAGGACCGGCCAACUACGUGCCAGCAGCCGCGGUAAUACGUAGGGUCCGAGCGUUGUCCGGAAUUACUGGGCGUAAAGAGCUCGUAGGUGGUUUGUCGCGUUGUUCGUGAAAACUCGCAGCUUAACUGUGGGCGUGCGGGCGAUACGGGCAGACUUGAGUACUGCAGGGGAGACUGGAAUUCCUGGUGUAGCGGUGGAAUGCGCAGAUAUCAGGAGGAACACCGGUGGCGAAGGCGGGUCUCUGGGCAGUAACUGACGCUGAGGAGCGAAAGCGUGGGGAGCGAACAGGAUUAGAUACCCUGGUAGUCC